Molecule: transfer RNA, 68 nt
Filed under: Marmota monax (woodchuck)
Lineage: Eukaryota; Metazoa; Chordata; Mammalia; Rodentia; Sciuridae
Description: tRNA.Ala
Source: RNAcentral
GGAUUGUGGCUCAGUGGUAGAGCUCUCAUCUAGCAUGGGCGAGGCCCUGGGUUUGAUCCUCAGCACCA